UGCCAGCCGCCGCGGUAACACGUAAGGUGCAAGCGUUAUCCGGAAUCACUGGGUUUAAAGGGCGCGUAGGCGGCAAAGUUAGUCAGAGGUGAAAGCUCACAGCUAAACUGUGGAAUUGCCUUUGAUACUGCUUAGCUUGAAUUAGGUUGAGGUUAGCGGAAUGUGGCAUGUAGCGGUGAAAUGCAUAGAUAUGCCAUAGAACACCAAUUGCGAAGGCAGCUGGCUAGACCUAUAUUGACGCUGAGGCACGAAAGCGUGGGGAGCGAACAGGAUUAGAUA
Molecule: ribosomal RNA, 279 nt
Filed under: uncultured bacterium
Lineage: Bacteria
Description: partial 16S ribosomal RNA
Rfam family: Bacterial small subunit ribosomal RNA
Source: RNAcentral